Molecule: ribosomal RNA, 28 nt
Filed under: Lactarius zonarius
Lineage: Eukaryota; Fungi; Basidiomycota; Agaricomycetes; Russulales; Russulaceae
Also listed under: 4 other names
Description: partial large subunit ribosomal RNA
Source: RNAcentral
UUGACCUCAAAUCGGGUGAGACUACCCG